RNAcentral lists this ribosomal RNA (498 nucleotides) under uncultured bacterium. RNAcentral's name for it is "partial 16S ribosomal RNA". It matches the Rfam family "Bacterial small subunit ribosomal RNA", at positions 30 to 523 of the family's 1533-position model. The record is from RNAcentral.
AUUGAACGCUGGCGGCAUGCCUUACACAUGCAAGUCGAACGGUAACAGGUCUUCGGAUGCUGACGAGUGGCGAACGGGUGAGUAAUACAUCGGAACGUGCCUAGUAGUGGGGGAUAACUACUCGAAAGAGUGGCUAAUACCGCAUGAGAUCUACGGAUGAAAGCAGGGGAUCGCAAGACCUUGUGCUACUAGAGCGGCCGAUGGCAGCUUAGGUAGUUGGUGGGAUAAAAGCUUACCAAGCGGACGAUCUGUAGCUGGUCUGAGAGGACGAUCAGCCACACUGGGAGUGAGACGCGGCGCAGACGCCUACGGGAGGCAGCAGUGGGGAAUUUUGGACAAUGGGCGCAAGCCUGAUGCAGCAAUGCCGCGUGCAGGAUGACGGCAUUCGGGUUGUAAACUGCUUUUGUGAGGAACGAAAAGCCCUAGGUUAAUACCCUGGGGUCAUGACGGUACCGUAAGAAUAGGCACCGGCUAACUACGUGCCAGCCGCCGCAGUAA